This 489-nucleotide unclassified non-coding RNA is filed under the name Hevea brasiliensis (rubber tree). Lineage: Eukaryota; Viridiplantae; Streptophyta; Magnoliopsida; Malpighiales; Euphorbiaceae. The record is from RNAcentral.
CAAACUAUUGCAACUCUCAAUUCCCUGCUUCUCUUGAUUUUCUCUCCAUUUUCCAUCGAUCGCAUUGAUUUUGAAUCCUCUCAACUUUCUGCACGAAGAUCAUGAUGGGCAGUGUUGAUGGUAAAUGGGACGAUGAUGAGUAUUCUGUUAUUGGAGAUAAAGGUGAAGUUGGGUUCAUAGACUACCAAGAAGAUAAAUCUGUGUGCAGUUAUAAUCCGAAUGAAGAGGGUCCCAUCGUCAUUUCUGUCCCUUUCCCCUUUGAAGAUCGGAAACCUCGGUCAGUGUUUAUUGGAGAAACUGUUACGGAUUCAAUCACUAUUAAGAACACUACCACCGAAGCUGUGGAUUUAUGGACCAAAAUUUAUGCCUCCAAUCCUGAGAAUUCUUUUGCACUUUCUUUGAUGGAGCCUCCAUCAGCAAAUGGUGGGAAUGGCAGCCGUGGUUUUUUGGAGACUUAUGCCCUGGAGGACAGAAUGCUUCAACCUGGUG